This 400-nucleotide ribosomal RNA is filed under the name uncultured bacterium. Its description in RNAcentral is "bacterial SSU rRNA". It matches the Rfam family "Bacterial small subunit ribosomal RNA", at positions 355 to 771 of the family's 1533-position model. The record is from RNAcentral.
UGGGGAAUAUUGGGCAAUGGAGGGAACUCUGACCCAGCAACGCCGCGUGAAGGAUGAAGGUUUUCGGAUUGUAAACUUCUGUCGCGAGGGACGAAGAAUGACGGUACCUCGUAAGAAAGCCCCGGCAAACUACGUGCCAGCAGCCGCGGUAAUACGUAGGGGGCGAGCGUUGUCCGGAAUGACUGGGCGUAAAGGGAGUGUAGGCGGCCUUUUAAGUUAUAUGUGAAAUCCCGUGGCUUAACCAUGGAAGUGCAUAUAAAACUGGAGGGCUGGAGUGCAGGAGAGGUAAGUGGAAUUCCUAGUGUAGCGGUGGAAUGCGUAGAUAUUAGGAGGAACACCAGAGGCGAAGGCGGCUUACUGGCCUGUAACUGACGCUGAGGCUCGAAAGCGUGGGGAGCAA